This 301-nucleotide ribosomal RNA is filed under the name uncultured bacterium. RNAcentral describes it as "partial 16S ribosomal RNA". It matches the Rfam family "Bacterial small subunit ribosomal RNA", at positions 509 to 809 of the family's 1533-position model. The record is from RNAcentral.
CAGCCGCCGCGGGAAUACGUAGGGUGCGAGCGUUAAUCGGAAUUACUGGGCGUAAAGCGUGCGCAGGCGGUUCGGAAAGAGAGAUGUGAAAUCCCAGGGCUUAACCUUGGAACUGCAUUUUUAACUACCGGACUAGAGUGUGUCAGAGGGAGGUGGAAUUCCGCGUGUAGCAGUGAAAUGCGUAGAGAUGCGGAGGAACACCGAUGGCGAAGGCAGCCUCCUGGGAUAACACUGACGCUCAUGCACGAAAGCGUGGGGAGCAAACAGGAUUAGAUACCCGCGUAGUCCCUGUCUCUUAUAA